GCAGGGAUGAGGGGCCCCAUCCUGUGCCCAGGGGGCCCCAUCAGGUGGAGGGAAAGCCUGCACCCACUUCUGUUCACCCCCAUGCAUGUGACAGCCUCUGAUGUGGAUGUCAUGGCUCUAGAGCCAAGGACGCAGGAGUGAGGCAGAAAAGUCCCCUGGACAGAACGGAAGUGAGAAGGAUCCAAGUGAGGAUUUAAUUUCAGGUCGAAGUAAAAGCCAUGAAGAGGAAGAAAACAUCGCAGGGCAGGAGAUGGCGUGGGGUGCAGCAGGGACCCCGAGAGCAGCUGGAGGGGACGCAACGCACUCGGGGAGGGUCGGGCUGGGUCAGGCAUGAUGGGGAACCCGUGCAAGUGCAGUGGGCAAGAGCAGCAAGAAGGCUGGUGAGGAUGCGCCAGGGAAGGUCAGGGAGGCAGGAGGGGCAGGGGCUGGCAAGGGUUUGGCUCUAAAUAUGACUCUCAGGUGUGGUGACACCUGCCUGUAAUCCCAGCACUUGGGGAGGUCGAGGCAGGAAGAUCACAAAUUUGAGCCCAGCCUGAUCAACUUAGCGACUUAGAAGGAUGCUGUCUAAAAUUUUUUAAAAAAGGCUGGGUGCGCAGCUUGGUGUGAAGGCCCUUGGAUCAACCCCCAGUGCUGGGGGUCGGGGGGAAAGGAUGAUCUUAGUGCAGAGUGUAUACAGGCAAUGUGAAGGGAAGUGGGAAAGGCAAGGAGCAGAUUCCUGGCUCUGGCGGUUCAGCUGAUAACCCGGCUGAGAGGGGCUCUGGCCUCACAGUGCGGAAUCAGCCCAGGAACCAGAAUGGGCUCCAGAGCGCACUGGCCCGUGCAGAGAGCGUCCACGCCCCACGGUCCAGCGAACACAGAGAAAAUGCGGAACAAGAAGGCGACACCACCCACCAGGCGACCACUGCAGGUCAGCCGCCUGAAGGGGAUCCUGUAACCCAGACAGAACAUCAGCCGUGGGUGGGAGUGAGACACAAACCCACCCGUUGCCACUAUGCAGCUUUGGAAUGGCAGUGCGGCUGGGCUGUGAGCAGGGCAGGUGCUGUCGUUUGGGUCUGAAAUGUCCCUAUAGGCUGCCGUAUCCCAGUGGCACCAUGAGGAGGCGGUGGAGCUCUCCGGAAGUGGGGCCUUGGUGGGCGGAAAUGAGGUCACUAGGGGCGUGGCCUCACAGGGAUCUUCGGGACUCUGAGCUCUGACUGUCUUGCUUUUUGCUUCCUGGUCACCCUGGGCUGAGCCCCUCUUCUGGAAGUGCUCCCCAGAAGAAAGAUUCUGGAUUAACACAUGCAGCUGUCGCUGAAGUUACUGGCAGAACCCUAAGUACAAGGCUGGAAAGAAGCUGGCUUGAAACCCUCCUGCAAACAUACUCUGCUUGAAUCUAAUGAAGGUGCUUCUCAAGGAUCUUGCCUUACACACGAGGUUGGGAAACACCAGUCUACAGGAGUCCUGUCCGAUGCAGAGUGGCCCCAAGAGGACACUCAGUGCUGAGUGACAUCUCUCAGAGAGUUCCAGAAGAACGUAUAUGAGAAAAGAGGAAAUUGUCCUUGUCCUACACACAGAGGGGCCGCACGAGUGUUCAAGGCCAGAGGUAUGGCUGAAACCGUUCUUCUGGCUGUAGCUGCCUGGGGAGCUCUGCUGGCCGAAAUGCAGGAAAAGCUGAGCGUGUGCCUCUGUUUGCCAAGCUUUUGUCACAGCGAGAGCCACAAGGCAUGGGUUUAUGUUGCCGGGACACCCUGAGCUGGCUCCAUGCAGCUUUAUUCCUUUGUUCUCAGCUCCCUUCCCCAAAACCACCUGCAACUGCGUUUUGUGAAUGAACUGCUCACAUCUGCUGGGAGAUAAAACUCCAUGAUCUUCAAAACCCUCAACUGCCACCAUGCUGGGAGUCAGAGAGGGCAAAGGAAAGGUUCUUUUAAAAAUUUUUUAUACUACUUUCCUAGAAGAGUUCACAUACUUAGGUAAAUAAAGAUAACCAAGCAGUGUCUUUGCAAAGAUCUGCGCUCGCCUGUUCAGCCACUGAACAGAAGAGGCCUCAGUUCAUCAGAAAAGCCAAGGGGAAAAGGAAGAGGAGAAGCCUGACGGGUUACAGACCGGAGCUGGGUCACUGCUUCCAAACAGACCUAAACUGCGAGAUGCUUGCAGUUUCUUUUUAAAAAUAAAGGGUCUCUUCUAAAAGCAAAGUAUGUAUACUGCAGAAAAUUUGGAAAAUGAAGAAUGAAAACAAUUUCCCUUCAAUAUCAAAGAUAACUGCUCUAAUAUCCUACUGCAUUUCCUUUCAGAUUUUUUUCUGGGCACAGUUUCUGGAGACAUGAGGGGUGAAGUGUGUGUGUGUGUGUGUGUACACAGAUCCAUAUUCUUACACUGCUUCAAUGUACUGCACGUGUCUAGCUGAAAUUCACUAUGAGAAACCCCUGCAUAUUUAUUACACACUUUUUCUGAACACAAUUUUUACAGCCACCUUCAUAGGCCAUGAAGUAGACGCUCCAUAAUGGACCUAACUUUCUCUCAACUGGUAGACAAACAUGCCAAGGUUGUUCAAAUCUUUCACCGUCACAGAAAAAGUGCAUCGAUCAAGAUCCAGUAUCAAGGUGGUGUUGACAUUGAUGGAGCUGUGCGACCUGAGUUUGUACCCUGGAACCCUAUGACAUGCGUGGAAAAUAACCUAAAAAAUAGACAAAGGACUUCAUCCUCUGUCAUGACGAUGCCCAGUGUCACACAUUGCUUCUGGUAUGGGAGUUUCUGUUGAGUAAAAACAUGGCCUGCUGUCAUCCACUUUAUUCACUGGUGUGGCACUGUGCAAUUUCUGGUUCUUCCACGAAGUCACAAUAACCACAAAAGGGAAAUAUUAUGAAUCCAUUCGGGGGAUUGAUGCAGCAAGGCCUGCGCAACUUCUGGUCCUCUUGCCUCAGCUUCUCCAGUGGCUGGGACUACAGCCAGAAGCUGCACGGUGCCAGAUCCGGUGAAUAAGGCGGGUGAGGACGCAGCGUCAUGUUUGUACGAGCUGCCUUUCUGGAGGAGGGCCCUUGGCAGCAGCGUGCACUGUUCUGUUGAUCACACCUUGUGAAGACACUCAGGAAAGAGCACUUCCAGAACUGCUUCAGAGUAGCAAGAACAAUGGGAUAUGUGUGUUUAAGAGGUGAUGAGCUAAUUUUUAUAAAGAUCAAAAUUCCAGGCCUGAUGGUGAAUGCCUGUAAUCCCAGCACUCUGGCAGGAGGAUUGCAAGUUUGAGCCCACCUGGGGAAUUUAGAUGAAGAUGUCAGAUUUUAAACUGAAUAGGCCAUCGUUCACUUGAAUUCAGUAUGAUUCUAGUUUCUACAAGUGAUUUAUAGGAGAAAAUAUCUCUGAUAUAGCGAAAGCCAUCUCCUGUUUGAACAGCCUGGAGUGUGCACAUUGUUUUGCUUCGAAGAGAAAACUCCUGUCCUCCGAACAAUGACAAGGUUGCAACUGUACUUGGAAGUUUCAAAUUAUCCUUAGAGACUGUCUUCCAUGAAAAUCGAAUGUGGUGCUGGAAAAAGGACAUAUCAUUGAGGAUCCAUUCAGAACAGCGAUCCUUUCUGUGCUUACUUAAGGCUCAGCGACCACACUGCGGGACGCAGUAUCAGUGCUCCCAGUACCUGUGCCAUCUCACUAAGCAUCCCUGGGAAGGAUGCUGUCCCAAUGCAGGUCAGCACCACAGCACAGGGACUAACAUCAGCCAGUUACCUGGUACCUUCCUGCUGGAGGGAGUCAGAUCCCUUGUUUUAAACAUAUUAAAAGUCAUACAUUGGGUAUAAAUCUUUUCCAAAAACAUUUUUAUCUCUCUUUUGUUUGGGACAUGGUCUUGCCAUGUGACUCAGGUUGGCCUGGAAGUCACAGUAAUCCUCCUGCCUCUGCCUCCCACAUGCUGGGAUUACAAGUGUGUGCCACCACACCCGGCUGCCAAGAAAAUUUUAAAUCCACUACUGUAUUCUGCAUGUAUGAUGACACAUGAACUUGUAAACUGUUUCAUAGUUUUGAGACAAGGCAUGACUUUUCGGCUGUGCAGAAUAAAGAUACCUUUUGAGAAGUUUUAUUGUAAAAAAGGUGAGGAUGAACCAAGGCUGAACUGGGCCACAAUGAGGCUUCAAUUGUUUUGCUGAGAUUGGGCUGAUGGCACCACUCUAAUCAGCACAGCUGGGUCUGCAUGCACAGCUAGAGGCUUCUCUCCAGUACAGGAGGGAAGGCUCACUGCUGGGGCCCUCAGGCCAGCCUUCCCUGACGCUCUGUGCCUGGAGCUGGUGUGGGCGUGGCCUUUGACCCGCAGGACUCCAUGAGAGCAGAGUGCAGGCUUGAUGGCAGGGACAGAAUGGAACAGAGGUGCUACUUCAAGGUCACUCUGACAGCUGUGUGCUUCAGGGAUCAGCUUAGCAUUUCACCACCAUCUCACGCAUGCCGGAACCACACCGUGUCCCCACUUCCACCACGGUCAGGUUGCAGUCACCACCACUACCCACACCAGCAGCAUCCAUUUGUACCUCGGUGGUCACACACCCUUCCUUCCAGUCUAGCCUCUGCUGCUCGCUUUCUAUCCGUUCCAAUCUUUCCCACAUGUGGUUACUGGAUUAAUUAUCCUGCAUCAGAGUUCUGAUUAUAGCUGUCCUGCCUUAGAUCUAAAAUGUCCCCCAGAGUCUCAUGGGGCUUUUGGAAGGUGACUGGGUCAUGUGGGGAGUGGUGUCCUCUUCAGGGAGUCACUGAUGAGUUCACAGAUGAAUGUGCUGUUGGGAGGCAGGGCUGAACAGAGGAGGUGGGUUGCUAGUGGCCCAACCUGCAAGGCUGCCAGGAGGUGGGCAGCCUUCCUCUGCCAGGCCCUUCCGCCAUGAUGGUCCGCCAUGAUGGUUCCGCCAUGAUGGUUCCGCCAUGAUGGUUCUACCUUGGAACUGGCCAACCAUGGACUGAAACUGUAAGCCAAAACAAACCUCUCCUUUAAGUUGUAGGUGUAGAUAUUUUAGCCAAGUGAUGGGAAAGUGACUUAUACAAUACCCCUUACUGCUUAAACACUGGCAUUUUACUAGUCUUUGCUUAAUGUCUUUCCUAGUGACUGAAGUCCAGGUUCCUGGGGCUGGCAUGCAAAGACAUUUAUUAUAAAAGUCUCCAGGACAGUCUUCAGAAUGGCUCUCCCAUGGCUACCCCUCAAAUUUUCUGGGUUCCAACAAGCCAGAGCACUCAUUAUUGCUUGAAUACGCUUUAGGCUGGCAUUUUCCAAAGUUCAAAUUAAAUGCUGUUUUAUCAGAAUCCUUGGGAUGUUUGUUAAAAUGUGCAUUCCUAGAUUUGGUUCCUAGAAGCUUUCUCUUUAAAGUUCUAGGUACUUAUCUUUUUGUCCUUCACACUGGUAUCUUAUUUACAGUUAUGUGGCUACAGGGAAAGUCCCAUUUACAUGUCUUACAGGUGUUUAUAGGACUAAUCUUAUGUGGAUAUAAAGCAACUGGCAGAUCGACCAGUUACGUUCCUAAGCAAAGGUGGCUCCAAUGGUUAACUCCAAGAGUUUUUGUGGUGGUCAAAUAGAUAAUGUUUGUGACAGGAUUUUUAUGUUUCUCAUAAGCCCUGCAUGAAACUGUAAACCUUUACAGGUAUUAUGCUACUCCUAAUGGCAUUACUUGAAAAAUCUCAUCAGUGUUUUGCUUAAUAAAUAUUAAUUGAAUUAA
Long non-coding RNA from Chinchilla lanigera (long-tailed chinchilla), 5651 nucleotides. RefSeq lists it as uncharacterized. The transcript has 7 exons. Lineage: Eukaryota; Metazoa; Chordata; Mammalia; Rodentia; Chinchillidae. The record is from RefSeq and is a predicted model, not a curated record.